ACGCUGGCGGCAGGCCUAACACAUGCAAGUCGAGCGGUAGAGAGAAGCUUGCUUCUCUUGAGAGCGGCGGACGGGUGAGUAAUGCCUAGGAAUCUGCCUGGUAGUGGGGGAUAACGUUCGGAAACGGACGCUAAUACCGCAUACGUCCUACGGGGGAAAGCAGGGGACCUUCGGGCCUUGCGCUAUCAGAUGAGCCUAGGUCGGAUUAGCUAGUUGGUGGGGUAAUGGCUCACCAAGGCGACGAUCCGUAACUGGUCUGAGAGGAUGAUCAGUCACACUGGAACUGAGACACGGUCCAGACUCCUACGGGAGGCAGCAGUGGGGAAUAUUGGACAAUGGGCGAAAGCCUGAUCCAGCCAUGCCGCGUGUGUGAAGAAGGUCUUCGGAUUGUAAAGCACUUUAAGUUGGGAGGAAGGGCAGUUGCCUAAUACGUAACUGUUUUGACGUUACCGACAGAAUAAGCACCGGCUAACUCUGUGCCAGCAGCCGCGGUAAUACAGAGGGUGCAAGCGUUAAUCGGAAUUACUGGGCGUAAAGCGCGCGUAGGUGGUUUGUUAGGUUGGAUGUGAAAUCCCCGGGCUCAACCUGGGAACUGCAUUCAAAACUGACUGACUAGAGUAUGGUAGAGGGGUGGUGGAAUUUCCUGUGUAGCGGUGAAAUGCGUAGAUAUAGGAAGGAACACCAGUGGCGAAGGCGACCACCUGGAC
RNAcentral lists this ribosomal RNA (707 nucleotides) under uncultured bacterium. RNAcentral's name for it is "bacterial SSU rRNA". It matches the Rfam family "Bacterial small subunit ribosomal RNA", at positions 33 to 734 of the family's 1533-position model. The record is from RNAcentral.